GACGAACGCUGGCGGCGUGCUUAACACAUGCAAGUCGAGCGGUAAGGCCCUUUCGGGGGUACACGAGCGGCGAACGGGUGAGUAACACGUGGGUGACCUGCCCUCAGCUCUGGGAUAAGCCUGGGAAACCGGGUCUAAUACCGGAUAUGACUCCAUGACGCAUGUUGUGGGGUGGAAAGCCUUGUGCGGCUGAGGAUGGGCCCGCGGCCUAUCAGCUUGUUGGUGGGGUGAUGGCCUACCAAGGCGACGACGGGUAGCCGGCCUGAGAGGGCGACCGGCCACACUGGGACUGAGACACGGCCCAGGCUCCUACGGGAGGCAGCAGUGGGGAAUCUUGCGCAAUGGGCGAAAGCCUGACGCAGCGACG
This 367-nucleotide ribosomal RNA is filed under the name uncultured bacterium. RNAcentral describes it as "bacterial SSU rRNA". It matches the Rfam family "Bacterial small subunit ribosomal RNA", at positions 28 to 396 of the family's 1533-position model. The record is from RNAcentral.